This 357-nucleotide transfer-messenger RNA is filed under the name Bryobacteraceae. RNAcentral's name for it is "Palsa-187 sp003223065 Standard tmRNA". It matches the Rfam family "transfer-messenger RNA". From Rfam's summary of the family: Bacterial tmRNA, also known as 10Sa RNA or SsrA, is named for its dual tRNA and mRNA-like properties. Its role is to liberate the mRNA from a stalled ribosome. To accomplish this part of the tmRNA is used as a reading frame that ends in a translation stop signal. Lineage: Bacteria; Pseudomonadati; Acidobacteriota; Terriglobia; Bryobacterales. RNAcentral also lists the same sequence under 2 other names. The record is from RNAcentral.
GGGGGCGCAACGGAUUCGACGGGAUUGCAUCCGUCGUGGAAAGGCGUGCCGGGUUCCGAGCUCCCGUAAAACGAUCGGAAAACCAAAACUGCCAAUACACCGCAGUUUGCUUACGCUGCCUAAUUGAUUAGGUAGCCGCUCCGGACCGUUGGGCCUGCACAUGGUCCGAGAGCGUCAUCUUGCAGGAUCAGGUCCAAGGCUUCUGUCCGGAGCCGAAAGCCGAAAUUAACCGGGCUAAGCCGCCUCUCUCUUGCCGGUUCCGCAAGAGGCGGACGAAAACCAACGAAUCGGAAACGCACGUAGUCUUUUUGCGGUGGACUUUCUCGGACGCGGGUUCGACUCCCGCCGCCUCCACCA